GCUAAUUAUCAAAACAUCUUAUGGUUUUGAAGUAACUAGCUAAUUAUCAAACACAUCUUAUAGUUUUGAAGUAACUAGCUAAUUAUCAAAACAUCUUAUGGUUUUGAAGUAACUAGCUAAUUAUCAAACACAUCUUAUAGUUUUGAAGUAACUAGCUAAUCAUCAAAACAUCUUAUAGUUUUGAAGUAACUAGCUAAUUAUCAAACACAUCUUAUGGUUUUGAAGUAACUAGCUAAUCAUCAAAAACAUCUUAUAGUUUUGAAGUAACUAGCUAAUUAUCAAACAUCUUAUAGUUUUGAAGUAACUAGCUAAUUAUCAAAACAUCUUAUGGUUUUGAAGUAACUAGCUAAUUAUCAAAACAUCUUAUGGUUUUGAAGUAACUAGCUAAUUAUCAAAACAUCUUAUGGUUUUGAAGUAACUAGCUAAUCAUCAAAAACAUCUUAUAGUUUUGAAGUAACUAGCUAAUUAUCAAAACAUCUUAUGGUUUUGAAGUAACUAGCUAAUUAUCAAAACAUCUUAUAGUUUUGAAGUAACUAGCUAUUUAUCAAAACAUCUUAUAGUUUUGAAGUAACUAG
This is a long non-coding RNA of Ictalurus punctatus (channel catfish), 575 nucleotides long. Lineage: Eukaryota; Metazoa; Chordata; Actinopteri; Siluriformes; Ictaluridae. The record is from Ensembl.